Molecule: transfer RNA, 92 nt
Filed under: Meyerozyma guilliermondii
Lineage: Eukaryota; Fungi; Ascomycota; Pichiomycetes; Serinales; Debaryomycetaceae
Also listed under: 2 other names
Description: tRNA-Ser
Rfam family: tRNA
About the family: Transfer RNA (tRNA) molecules are approximately 80 nucleotides in length. Their secondary structure includes four short double-helical elements and three loops (D, anti-codon, and T loops). Further hydrogen bonds mediate the characteristic L-shaped molecular structure. tRNAs have two regions of fundamental functional importance: the anti-codon, which is responsible for specific mRNA codon recognition, and the 3' end, to which the tRNAs corresponding amino acid is attached (by aminoacyl-tRNA synthetases). tRNAs cope with the degeneracy of the genetic code in two manners: having more than one tRNA (with a specific anti-codon) for a particular amino acid; and 'wobble' base-pairing, i.e. permitting non-standard base-pairing at the 3rd anti-codon position.
Source: RNAcentral
GUUACAGUGGCCGAGUGGUUAAGGCGACGCCCUGCUAUUAGCAGCUUAGGCGUUGGGUUUUACCUGCGCAGGUUCGAAUCCUGUCUGUGACG